Rhinopithecus bieti (black snub-nosed monkey) is the source of this 104-nucleotide small nuclear RNA. The record is from Ensembl. NCBI's taxonomy places the organism in Eukaryota, Metazoa, Chordata, Mammalia, Primates, Cercopithecidae.
GUGCUCACUUUGACAGCACAUAUACUACAACUGGAACAAUACAGAGAUUAGCAUGGACCCUGUGCAAGGAUGACACAAAAAUUCAUGAAGCAUUCCAUAUUUAA